RNAcentral lists this long non-coding RNA (454 nucleotides) under Lathyrus oleraceus (garden pea). RNAcentral's name for it is "Pisum sativum (pea) long non-coding RNA (PSAT_LNC035228)". Lineage: Eukaryota; Viridiplantae; Streptophyta; Magnoliopsida; Fabales; Fabaceae. The record is from RNAcentral.
AAAAAUCUGUGAGUUUGAGAUAAAAUAAAUUAAAACUAUUUUCAUAUUCAUAUUCCUCAUGAAAUUCUGAUCAAUUUACUAUAUUCACAUAUCGCGUUUAGUUCAAAAAUGAAAAAGUUGCAUUUAAAAAAAAAACUAAAACUUACACUAACAACACAAGGAAGAAGAUGAUGUUCAGCGCCAUUUUUUUUAUUUUUAAAAUUUUUUAUAUAUAUUUUAUGCAAUGAGUUAAUUACAUAAUUGGUAGGUCAACCUUGGUGUAGUGGUUGUGUGUUUGUUUGGUUAUCUUGGGGUCCUAAGUUCAAAAACCUUAGACCCCAUUUUUUCAUUAUUUUUGCUAUUUCUUCCUUAUUUCCUUGUUUUUUUUUAUGUUUUUUAUUUAUUCCUUUUAUUUAUUUAUUUAUUCUUGCUUAAUUAUUAUAAAUAUUUCUAUUUUAUGUUUAAAAAAAAAAUU